CAGCGGCGCACGGGUGAGUAACACGUGGGUAAUCUGCCCUAGAGUGGGGAAUAACACCGGGAAACCGGUGCUAAUACCGCAUACGAUCACGAUGUCUGCGGAUGUUGUGAUGAAAGGAGCAAUUCGCUCUUGGAGGAGCCCGCGGCUGAUUAGCUAGUUGGUAAGGUAAUGGCUUACCAAGGCAACGAUCAGUAGCCGGUCUGAGAGGACGGUCGGCCACACUGGAACUGAGACACGGUCCAGACUCCUACGGGAGGCAGCAGUGGGGAAUUUUUCGCAAUGGGGGCAACCCUGACGAAGCAACGCCGCGUGGGUGAUGAAGUCUCUUGGGACGUAAAACCCUUUCGACGGGGAAGAAACCGCAAGGUUGACGGUACCCGUAGAAGAAGCCCCGGCUAACUCCGUGCCAGCAGCCGCGGUAAUACGGGGGGGGCAAGCGUUGUUCGGAAUUACUGGGCGUAAAGGGCGCGUAGGCGGUUUGCUAAGUUGAAUGUGAAAACUCUGGGCUUAACCCAGAGCCUGCAUUCAAUACUGGCAGGCUAGAGUUCUGGAGGGGAUAGCGGAAUUCCUGGUGUAGCGGUGAAAUGCGUAGAUAUCAGGAGGAACACCGGUGGCGAAGGCGGCUAUCUGGACAGAGUC
This 639-nucleotide ribosomal RNA is filed under the name uncultured bacterium. Its description in RNAcentral is "bacterial SSU rRNA". It matches the Rfam family "Bacterial small subunit ribosomal RNA", at positions 93 to 740 of the family's 1533-position model. The record is from RNAcentral.